Molecule: long non-coding RNA, 674 nt
Filed under: Nicotiana tabacum (common tobacco)
Lineage: Eukaryota; Viridiplantae; Streptophyta; Magnoliopsida; Solanales; Solanaceae
Description: long non-coding RNA (NTAB_LNC014325)
Source: RNAcentral
AGCUUUCUUAUUGAUUGUGGUUAAUCUGUGUCUUGCUUUAUCAGUAACUUUAGCGUCCAGAAGGAUUCACCAGUCCUUGAAGUUGAACUGGAUGUUGAUGAGAUGGCACGAAGUCACAAAGCAUAGGUUGUGUGCUUUGAGGAAAAGAUAUCCUAGGAUUACUGAUUUGGUUGUACCCACUUUUUCUUGUUUCCUCUUAUUUAUCCGAGCGAAAUUCAUUGGAAAAAAUAAAAGUUGUGUAUUAGUGAUUUUGGUACAUUUUCCUUUGACCAGAUGCUGUCAUCCUAAGUGUUGAUCUUUCCUCUCAAUGAGGCGCCGUACGAACUGUAAACCUUUGAGGGCUUCAGUUCUAUUUAGAACGUAUUUCAAGGCUGAAACUGUUGUAUGGAUGAAGUUUGGAAAAGAUAUAUCAAUAUGAUUCACUUUCGUCCGGGUUGUGGCCAAUUGACAAAGAAGACAGUAUUUAUUAAAGUAGCUUGAACAUUCCUUUCACAGACCCAUUAUCAACAAUACACUAAUACAGCACGACUUGGCCCAUUCCCCAAACAUCAGAAGAGAGGUCUCACUGUAACUCCUUGUUUUGGUUUUAUAGUAGCACUUUCUUGAACAGUUUUUCCUGACUUUUUGUAGUGUGUUUUUGCUUGUCCGUUAGGGGACAUCCAACAAAAUUUAGA